GCCUCUGUAGCUCAAUGGAAGAGCAGUUCCGUCCUAAGGAAAGGGUUGGGGGUUCGAGUCCCUCCAGGGGCAC
Molecule: transfer RNA, 73 nt
Filed under: Clavibacter michiganensis
Lineage: Bacteria; Bacillati; Actinomycetota; Actinomycetes; Micrococcales; Microbacteriaceae
Also listed under: 16 other names
Description: tRNA-Arg
Rfam family: tRNA
About the family: Transfer RNA (tRNA) molecules are approximately 80 nucleotides in length. Their secondary structure includes four short double-helical elements and three loops (D, anti-codon, and T loops).
Source: RNAcentral